Molecule: ribosomal RNA, 527 nt
Filed under: uncultured bacterium
Lineage: Bacteria
Description: bacterial SSU rRNA
Rfam family: Bacterial small subunit ribosomal RNA
Source: RNAcentral
AGUGGCGAAAGGGGCAAUAAGGCGUGGGUAACCUACCUCGGGGACUGGGAUAGCCUUCCUAACGGAUGGGUAAUACCAGGCGAUUUGACGGCUGGGCAUCUAGCUGUCAGGAAAUGAAUUUCGCCUCGGGAGGGGCUCACGUGCUAUUAGCUUGUUGGCGGGGUAACGGCCCACCAAGGCAAAGAUGGCUAGCGGGUGUGAGAGCACGACCCGCGCCACUGGCACUGAGACACUGGCCAGACACCUACGGGUGGCUGCAGUCGAGGAUCUUCGGCAAUGGGCGCAAGCCUGACCGAGCGACGCCGCGUGCGCGAUGAAGGCCUUCGGGUUGUAAAGCGCUGUCGAGGGGGAGGAAAGCCGCAAGGUCUGACCUAUCCCUGGAGGAAGGACGGGCUAAGUUCGUGCCAGCAGCCGCGGUAAGACGAACCGUCCAAACGUUGUUCGGAAUCACUGGGCUUAAAGGGCGCGUAGGAGGGCCAGAGGGUCCGGGGUGAAAUCUUUCGGCUUAACCGGAAAAGUGCCUCGGA